GAUGAACGCUGGCGGCGUGCCUAAUACAUGCAAGUCGAGCGAACGGACGAGAAGCUUGCUUCUCUGAUGUUAGCGGCGGACGUGUGAGUAACACGUGGAUAACCUACCUAUAAGACAGGGAUAACUUCGGGAAACCGUAGCUAAUACCGGAGAAUAUUUUCAACCGCCAGGUUAAAAAGUGAAAGACGGUCUUGCUGUCACUUCUAGAUGGAUCCGCGUUGCAUUAGCUAGUUGGUAAGGUAACGGCUUACCAAGGCAACGAUGCAUAGCCGACCUGAGAGGGUGAUCGGCCACACUGGACCUGAGACACGGUCCAGACUCCUACGGGAGGCAGCAGUAGGGAAUCUUCCGCAAUGGGCGAAAGCCUGACGGAGCAACGCCGCGUGAGUGAUGAAGGUCUUCGGAUCGUAAAACUCUGUUAUUAGGGAAGAACAUAUGUGUAAGUAACUGUGCACAUCUUGACGGUACCUAAUCAGAAAGCCACGGCUAACUACGUG
This 497-nucleotide ribosomal RNA is filed under the name uncultured bacterium. RNAcentral describes it as "partial 16S ribosomal RNA". It matches the Rfam family "Bacterial small subunit ribosomal RNA", at positions 28 to 507 of the family's 1533-position model. The record is from RNAcentral.